Molecule: ribosomal RNA, 490 nt
Filed under: uncultured bacterium
Lineage: Bacteria
Description: partial 16S ribosomal RNA
Rfam family: Bacterial small subunit ribosomal RNA
Source: RNAcentral
AUUGAACGCUGGCGGCAGGCCUAACACAUGCAAGUCGAACGGUAACAGGAAGAAGCUUGCUUCUUUGCUGACGAGUGGCGGCCGGGUGAGUAAUGUCUGGGAAACUGCCUGAUGGAGGGGGAUAACUACUGGAAACGGUAGCUAAUACCGCAUAACGUCGCAAGACCAAAGAGGGGGACCUUCGGGCCUCUUGCCAUCGGAUGUGCCCAGAUGGGAUUAGCUAGUAGGUGGGGUAACGGCUCACCUAGGCGACGAUCCCUAGCUGGUCUGAGAGGAUGACCAGCCAAACUGGAACUGAGACACGGUCCAGACUCCUACGGGAGGCAGCAGUGGGGAAUAUUGCACAAUGGGCGCAAGCCUGAUGCAGCCAUGCCGCGUGUAUGAAGAAGGCCUUCGGGUUGUAAAGUACUUUCAGCGGGGAGGAAGGGAGUAAAGUUAAUACCUUUGCUCAUUGACGGUACCCGCAGAAGAAGCACCGGCUAACUCCGUG